RNAcentral lists this ribosomal RNA (479 nucleotides) under uncultured bacterium. Its description in RNAcentral is "bacterial SSU rRNA". It matches the Rfam family "Bacterial small subunit ribosomal RNA", at positions 28 to 521 of the family's 1533-position model. The record is from RNAcentral.
GACGAACGCUGGCGGCGUGCCUAACACAUGCAAGUCGAACGAGAGAUGAGGAGCUUGCUCUUCAGAUCGAGUGGCGAACGGGUGAGUAACGCGUGAGGAACCUGCCUCAAAGAGGGGGACAACAGUUGGAAACGACUGCUAAUACCGCAUGACACAUAGGUGUCGCAUGGCACUUAUGUCAAAGAUUUAUCGCUGAAAGAUGGCCUCGCGUCUGAUUAGCUAGUUGGUGAGGUAACGGCCCACCAAGGCGACGAUCAGUAGCCGGACUGAGAGGUUGAACGGCCACAUUGGGACUGAGAUACGGCCCAGACUCCUACGGGAGGCAGCAGUGGGGAAUAUUGGGCAAUGGGCGCAAGCCUGACCCAGCAACGCCGCGUGAAGGAAGAAGGCUUUCGGGUUGUAAACUUCUUUGUCAGGGACGAGUAGAAGACGGUACCUGACGAAUAAGCCACGGCUAACUACGUGCCAGCAGCCGCGGU